Ribosomal RNA from Fukomys damarensis (Damara mole-rat), 125 nucleotides. NCBI's taxonomy places the organism in Eukaryota, Metazoa, Chordata, Mammalia, Rodentia, Bathyergidae. The record is from Ensembl.
UUCUACAGCCACACCACCCUGAGAGCACCCAAUUUCUUCUGAUCUUGGAAGCUAAGCAGGGUCAGGCCUGGUAAGCACUUGGAUGGGAAAUUAUUCUCUUUGUUUUAGAGAUUCAGACAUAGGAU